Molecule: ribosomal RNA, 366 nt
Filed under: uncultured organism
Description: bacterial LSU rRNA
Rfam family: Bacterial large subunit ribosomal RNA
Source: RNAcentral
CUUUACUGCAACUUGACAUUGGAUUCUGGCUGUACUUGUGUAGGAUAGGUGGGAGACUUUGAAGCAGGGCCGCCAGGUCUUGCGGAGUCGUCGUUGAAAUACCACCCUGGUGCUGACGAGUUUCUAACCGUGUCCGUAAGCCGGACAUGAGACAGCGUCUGGUGGGCAGUUUGACUGGGGCGGUCGCCUCCUAAAAGGUAACGGAGGCAUUCAAAGGUCCCCUCAGCGUGGUCGGUAAUCACGCGCAGAGUGCAAACGCAUAAGGGGGCUUAACUGCGAGACCGACAGGUCGAGCAGGUACGAAAGUAGGAGUUAGUGAUCCCGCGGUUUAGCGUGGAAUUGCCGUUGCUCAAUGGAUAAAAGGUA